RNAcentral lists this ribosomal RNA (501 nucleotides) under uncultured bacterium. RNAcentral describes it as "partial 16S ribosomal RNA". It matches the Rfam family "Bacterial small subunit ribosomal RNA", at positions 30 to 523 of the family's 1533-position model. The record is from RNAcentral.
AUUGAACGCUGGCGGCAUGCCUUACACAUGCAAGUCGAACGGCAGCACGGGUGCUUGCACCUGGUGGCGAGUGGCGAACGGGUGAGUAAUAUAUCGGAACGUACCUUAUUGUGGGGGAUAACGCAGCGAAAGCUGUGCUAAUACCGCAUAAUCCCUUAGGGGGAAAGCGGGGGACCGUAAGGCCUCGCGCAAUUAGAGCGGCCGAUACCUGAUUAGCUAGUUGGUGAGGUAAAGGCUCACCAAGGCGACGAUCAGUAGCUGGUCUGAGAGGACGAUCAGCCACACUGGGACUGAGACACGGCCCAUACGCCUACGGGAGGCAGCAGUGGGGAAUUUUGGACAAUGGGGGCAACCCUGAUCCAGCAAUGCCGCGUGAGUGAAUAAGGCCUUCGUGUUGUAAAGCUCUUUUGUCAGGGAAGAAACAGCAGCUCUAACACAGUAUGCGAAUGACGGUACCUGAAGAAUAAGCACCGGCUAACUACGUGCCAGCCGCCGCGGUAA